CCAUUUGAGCUCAAAUUUGACAGGCAUGUUCGGUUUUACUUAACAAGUCCAAAGAAAUUUUAACAUUUCAGUUUCGACCCCGUUUGGUCACUGCGAACUGUACCGAACUGCGAUUUUUAUCCGAUAGCUUUCGGAUCAAAUUUCUCUCUCUACGGGUGUCAGAAUAAUCUGAAACUUUAAAUCUAGCCUCAUACAAAUAUUCCUAACAUCUCCGCCAAUUUUCAUAAUUUUCUGACACUGUGCAUUUUCUGCUAAUUUCUCAGUCCCAUUCUUUACAGAAAAUUUCAAAUCUUCUGUUUUUGCUCCGAUUUCAACACGAACACUUCCAAAACAUGCCAAGGGACUUUCACAAGCUACCA
Molecule: long non-coding RNA, 359 nt
Filed under: Ananas comosus (pineapple)
Lineage: Eukaryota; Viridiplantae; Streptophyta; Magnoliopsida; Poales; Bromeliaceae
Description: long non-coding RNA (ACOM_LNC037466)
Source: RNAcentral